AUACAGAGGCCCCAAGCGUUGUUCGGAUUUACUGGGCGUAAAGGGUGCGUAGGCGGCGAGGAAAGUUUGAGGUGAAAUCUCCAGGCUCAACUUGGAAAAUGCCUUGAAGACUUCCUUGCUCGAGGGUCGUAGAGGAGACUGGAAUUCUCGGUGUAGCAGUGAAAUGCGUAGAUAUCGAGAGGAACACCAGUGGCGAAAGCGGGUCUCUGGACGACACCUGACGCUGAGGCACGAAAGCCAGGGGAGC
This 247-nucleotide ribosomal RNA is filed under the name uncultured bacterium. Its description in RNAcentral is "partial 16S ribosomal RNA". It matches the Rfam family "Bacterial small subunit ribosomal RNA", at positions 523 to 769 of the family's 1533-position model. The record is from RNAcentral.